This is a long non-coding RNA of Neofelis nebulosa (Clouded leopard), 2137 nucleotides long. RefSeq lists it as uncharacterized. NCBI's taxonomy places the organism in Eukaryota, Metazoa, Chordata, Mammalia, Carnivora, Felidae. The transcript has 3 exons. The record is from RefSeq and is a predicted model, not a curated record.
GCUCCAUGCCUCAUGGCUCCAGAGAUCAGUGCAGUCCAGAGUCAGCCGAUGCGGUGUAGAGUGGAACGCUGGGUUUGCAGGCCCAUGCCAGGGCUCAAGUCCCUCCUCUCCACUCCCUGGCCGAGUGCCAUUUGAACAGGUCACCUGAGCUCUAUGAGCCACGUUUUCUCCUCUGUAAAGCGGCACAAGGUGCUGAGAUUGUGCGUGAGUCCAGAAGCCGCCUUGUAGAAUAAACGUGAGUUUUGGAGUCAGUUCUGCGUUUGAACCCGGCUCUGCCGCCUCGUAGCUGUGUGGCCUUGGGUAGGUCGAGUGACCUCUCUGAGCUUCUUUCACGUGUCACAAAAUAUUCUUUAGAUUUUUUUUUUAAAUUACGUUUUUAAUUUUGAUUCCAGUAUAGUUGACAUACAGUGUUACAUUAGUUUCAAGUGUACAAUAUAGUGAUUCAACAAUUCUAUAUAUUUCUCAGUGCUCAUCAUAAUAGAUAAGGGUACUCUUUGGAUUUUUAAAACAAUCGAGAAAUGUAAAAACCGUACUUACAGGUGGUUGCACAAAAACACAGCGGGCUAGAUUUGGCCGGUGGGCUGUAGUUUGCUGACCCGCAGGUUAGACUGUGAAAGCCUCCAAAGCGCGAGCAAUUUCCUUUAUAUUCUCAGCGGACUCCCUGUAGAUCCAGCAAAUGGCUGGUGAAUGAGAACGUCUUGCUACCUCUUAGAGAUAGUAAUGUGGCUACUGGCUGGAGAUAUGAAUGUGAACAUGGCAUGUUGCCGGUACAGAAGGUUGUUCUGGAAAGACAGAAGCCCCUUCCGGGGGGAAUUUGCAUCUUAGGAGAGAAGGCAGGGAGAGCUAACAACCUUGGAAGCUGCUGCAAUUCUGGAGAAGCUGCCCUGGCUCCUCAGCCACUCCCCACUCAGCCAGCAGGGGGCGCUAGAGGACCGCUUUCCUCUGCGUGUCCGGGCAGCCGGGAAGCCUUGUCUGCGGUGCCCUGCCAGGAGGUGGGAGAUGCUGGGGAUGGCCCAGACGACCUCCGAGUGUCUUUUCUGCCCAUUGAAGCUUGGCUUUUUUUUUUUUUUUUUUUGUGCCGAGGAAUCCACAGGGAUGAACUUCCCCGAGCUGGCUGGCAGCCGUGAGUUCUGCCCCCUGUCCCCAGAAAUGCAAUAAAAUGAGAACACGUCUCAUGUUGCAGGGGGCUGUCUGUCAUCUUGGAGUUUCAAUGUUUCAGAAUCGCAGCGACCACAGCUUUUGGGAGAAAAGAUCACAGGUCCAUGGUGUUCAGCAUGGUUUUCUCAGCAAGGAUCCCGACCAGUAGGAGCUGCUCAGAAGUGUAUGUCCUGCCCACACCGCCCCUUCCAGGGCCCCCUGCAUUAGACACUGCAGUUGGGGGCCAGCAGCUGACCCCUGACAAGCCCUCCAGGGAAUAAUUCAUCGCGUGUGCCCUGCACGGCUGGGAGAGAGCUGGGGAAGUGGGCAUGUGAGAGGCUCAGCUACCAGAUUUCUUCCCUUACAGCCCGGCUGCCAUGGGCUAGGAUCACCUUUCUCUGCAUCGUCUUAACUAAGGUCAGCCCUGGUGUCUGUUCAAACGACAAACGCUCGGUCCCCUUGACCUUCAGGAAUCUAUCCUGGUACAAACGAAAUGGCCAGAGUGUUAGGAUAUGUGUGCAAAGAUAUUUAUUGGUGUGUGGUCUGCCCUGGCAAUAAUUGGAAACAUUACUUUACCAAUAGGUGAAUAAUAGAAUCAAUUCUGGCACAUUCAGUAUUAUGGAACAUCAUGGGUCCUUACGAAGAAUUAGGUAGAUCUCCCUGUAUUGAUCUGGGAGGCACGCUAUCUAUUGCUCAGCAAUAAAGCAACUUGCUGAUUCAUGCCUGUGACAUGAUUCCUUUUUUUUUUUUCUUUUGAGGAAAAAGAGCCUCCAUGUUAUAUGUGCAUUUGUGUGUGUGGUACAGGGUUUGGAGGAGGGGGCAAUAAAGAUAAGCAGAGCAUGGAAGAAUAUGAAGAAUGUUACCUUGUAGGGUUGCAGGCAGGGCUGAAACCCAUUCACUCAUUUGUUUCGUUCAUGGUUUUGUUCAAUUCAUAGUUAUUCAUUUAAAAAAAAAGUUUAACGUUUAUUUAUUUAGAGAGAGACAGAGCGCCAGCAGGGGA